Molecule: ribosomal RNA, 460 nt
Filed under: uncultured bacterium
Lineage: Bacteria
Description: partial 16S ribosomal RNA
Rfam family: Bacterial small subunit ribosomal RNA
Source: RNAcentral
CCUACGGGAGGCAGCAGUGAGGAAUAUUGGUCAAUGGACGAGAGUCUGAACCAGCCAAGUAGCGUGAAGGAUGACUGCCCUAUGGGUUGUAAACUUCUUUUAUAUGGGAAUAAAAUGUUCCACGUGUGGGAUUUUGUAUGUACCAUAUGAAUAAGGAUCGGCUAACUCCGUGCCAGCAGCCGCGGUAAUACGGAGGAUCCGAGCGUUAUCCGGAUUUAUUGGGUUUAAAGGGAGCGUAGGUGGAUUGUUAAGUCAGUUGUGAAAGUUUGCGGCUCAACCGUAAAAUUGCAGUUGAAACUGGCAGUCUUGAGUACAGUAGAGGUGGGCGGAAUUCGUGGUGUAGCGGUGAAAUGCUUAGAUAUCACGAAGAACUCCGAUUGCGAAGGCAGUUCACUGGACUGCAACUGACGCUGAGGCUCGAAAGUGUGGGUAUCAAACAGGAUUAGAUACCCCUGUAGUC